This 462-nucleotide ribosomal RNA is filed under the name uncultured bacterium. RNAcentral's name for it is "partial 16S ribosomal RNA". It matches the Rfam family "Bacterial small subunit ribosomal RNA", at positions 28 to 507 of the family's 1533-position model. The record is from RNAcentral.
GACGAACGCUGGCGGCGUGCUUAACACAUGCAAGUCGAACGGAAAGGCCCUUCGGGGUCCUCGAGUGGCGAACGGGUGAGUAACACGUGGGUGAUCUGCCCUGCACUUUGGGAUAAGCCUGGGAAACUGGGUCUAAUACCGAAUAGGACCACGCGCUUCAUGGUGUGUGGUGGAAAGCUUUUGCGGUGUGGGAUGGGCCCGCGGCCUAUCAGCUUGUUGGUGGGGUAAUGGCCUACCAAGGCGACGACGGGUAGCCGGCCUGAGAGGGUGACCGGCCACACUGGGACUGAGAUACGGCCCAGACUCCUACGGGAGGCAGCAGUGGGGAAUAUUGCGCAAUGGGCGCAAGCCUGAUGCAGCGACGCCGCGUGAGGGAUGACGGCCUUCGGGUUGUAAACCUCUUUCACCAGGGACGAAGCGUAAGUGACGGUACCUGGAGAAGAAGCACCGGCCAACUACGUG